GGACUGGUGAGCUCAGUAGGUUGAGCCCGAUGCUGACAACAAUGACAACACCGAGGCUGCGGGUUCAAUUCCUGCUCAGUCCA
Molecule: transfer RNA, 83 nt
Filed under: Apaloderma vittatum (bar-tailed trogon)
Lineage: Eukaryota; Metazoa; Chordata; Aves; Trogoniformes; Trogonidae
Rfam family: tRNA
About the family: Transfer RNA (tRNA) molecules are approximately 80 nucleotides in length. Their secondary structure includes four short double-helical elements and three loops (D, anti-codon, and T loops).
Source: Rfam by way of RNAcentral